Molecule: ribosomal RNA, 2028 nt
Filed under: human gut metagenome
Description: bacterial LSU rRNA
Rfam family: Bacterial large subunit ribosomal RNA
Source: RNAcentral
AAUCGAACCCGGAGAUAGCUGGUUCUCCUCGAAAUAGCUUUAGGGCUAGCCUCAUGGAUCAUUGAUGGGGGUAGAGCACUGAAUGUGCGCGGGGGCCACAAAGCCUACCAAACGCUAUCAAACUUCGAAUACCAUACAAUGCAGACCAUGGGAGUCAGUCCGCGAGAGAUAAGUUCCGCGGGCAAAAGGGGAACACCCCAGAUCAACCGCUAAGGUCCCCAAGUUCACGUUAAGUGGAGAAGGAUGUGGAAUUGCACAGACAACCAGGAUGUUGGCUCAGAAGCAGCCACACAUUUAAAGAGUGCGUAAUAGCUCACUGGUCGAGUGAUUGUGCGCCGAAGAUGUCCGGGGCUAAACGUGACACCGAAGCGAUGGGUGCGUCUGAAGAAGAUGCGCGGUAGAGGAGCAAUGUGCAGAGGCAGAAGCCGUAUCGAGAGGCACGGUGGACACUGCACAAGAGAGAAUGCCGGUAUGAGUAGCGAGAGGCAUGCGAGAAACAUGCCCGUCGAAAGCCCAAGGUUUCCUGGGGAAGGUUCAUCCGCCCAGGGUAAGUCGGGGCCUAAGCCGAGGACGGAAGUCGUAGGCGAUGGACAGCAGGUGUAGAUUCCUGCACUACCGAUGGAAUGAAGCAGUGACACAGAAGGAUAACUCGAGCAGGGUGAUGGUCAACCCUGUGCAAGCAUCAAGGUUGGGUUGUAGUGAAGUACGCAACCCUAUAAGCUGAGAUGUGAUGCGGACCGAAAUUUCAGUAGGGAAGCGAGUGAGUUCACGCUGGCGAGAAAAGCUGCUAGUACAUCCAAAGGUACCCGUACCGGAAACCGACGCAGGUGGGCGAGGAGAGAAUCCUGAGACGAACGGGAGAACCCUUGUUAAGGAACUCGGCAAAAUGACCCCGUAACUUCGGGAUAAGGGGUGCCUGCGAGAGCAGGCCGCAGAGAAUAGUCACAAGCGACUGUUUAGCAAAAACACAGGUAUCUGCGAAAGCGAGAGCUGACGUAUAGGUGCUGACACCUGCCCGGUGCUGGAAGGUUAAGGGAACAUGUUAGAGCAAUCGAAGCAUCGAACCGAAGCCCCAGUAAACGGCGGCCGUAACUAUAACGGUCCUAAGGUAGCGAAAUUCCUUGUCGGGUAAGUUCCGACCCGCACGAAUGGUGUAACGACUUGUGAGCUGUCUCAACAGGGGGCCCGGUGAAAUUGAAGUAUGGGUGAAGAUGCCCAUUACCCGCGACUGGACGGAAAGACCCCGUAGAGCUUUACUGCAGCCUGAUAUUGAGUUUCGGUAACUGAUGCACAGGAUAGGUGGGAGUCUGAGAGACAUGGGUUUCGGCUCAUGUGGAGACGGUGUUGGGAUACCACUCUUCGGUUACUGAAAUUCUAACAUAGCUCUGUGAAACCAGAGGAUGGACAGUGUCAGGUGGACAGUUUGACUGGGGCGGUCGCCUCCGAAAGAGUAACGGAGGCGCCCAAAGGUACCCUCAGAAUGGAUGGAAACCAUUCGAAGAGCGCAAAGGCAGAAGGGUGCCUGACUGCGAGAUUGACAAAUCGAGCAGAGACGAAAGUCGGGCUUAGUGAUCCGGCGGUAUUGAGUGGAAAAGCCGUCGCUUAACGGAUAAAAGCUACCUCGGGGAUAACAGGCUGAUCUCCCCCAAGAGUCCACAUCGACGGGGAGGUUUGGCACCUCGAUGUCGGCUCAUCGCAUCCUGGGGCUGUAUUCGGUCCCAAGGGUUUGGCUGUUCGCCAAUUAAAGCGGCACGCGAGCUGGGUUCAGAACGUCGUGAGACAGUUCGGUCCCUAUCCAUCGUGGGCGUAGGAGUCAUGAGAGGAGCUGUUCCUAGUACGAGAGGACCGGAAUGGACGCACCACUGGUGCAACUGUUGUCGUGCCAACGGCAUAGCAGGGAAGCGAAGUGCGGAUGGGAUAAACGCUGAAGGCAUCUAAGCGUGAAGCCCACCUCAAGAAUAAGACUCCACAUAGACCCCUGGAGGACUACCAGGUAGAUAGGUCAUCGGUGGAAGCGCUGUAAGGUGU